Molecule: transfer RNA, 92 nt
Filed under: Pseudonocardia asaccharolytica DSM 44247 = NBRC 16224
Lineage: Bacteria; Bacillati; Actinomycetota; Actinomycetes; Pseudonocardiales; Pseudonocardiaceae
Description: tRNA-Ser
Source: RNAcentral
GCUGGCAGGAGGGCCGGCACGGUCCGUCGGCCGCGAUGGCCAAGGCCGCGCCGGGACCGUGCGGCACCUGCGGGUUCUUCCUGCCGCUGGCC